UUGUGAGGUUAAGCGACUAAGCGUACACGGUGGAUGCCCUGGCAGUCAGAGGCGAUGAAGGACGUGCUAAUCUGCGAUAAGCGUCGGUGAGGUGAUAUGAACCGUUAUAACCGGCGAUUUCCGAAUGGGGAAACCCAGUGUGUUUCGACACACUAUCAUUAACUGAAUCCAUAGGUUAAUGAGGCGAACCGGGGGAACUGAAACAUCUAAGUACCCCGAGGAAAAGAAAUCAACCGAGAUUCCCCCAGUAGCGGCGAGCGAACGGGGAGGAGCCCAGAGCCUGAAUCAGUGUGUGUGUUAGUGGAAGCGUCUGGAAAGGCGCGCGAUACAGGGUGACAGCCCCGUACACAAAAAUGCACAUAUUGUGAGCUCGAUGAGUAGGGCGGGACACGUGGUAUCCUGUCUGAAUAUGGGGGGACCAUCCUCCAAGGCUAAAUACUCCUGACUGACCGAUAGUGAACCAGUACCGUGAGGGAAAGGCGAAAAGAACCCCGGCGAGGGGAGUGAAAAAGAACCUGAAACCGUGUACGUACAAGCAGUGGGAGCCUCUUAAUGGGGUGACUGCGUACCUUUUGUAUAAUGGGUCAGCGACUUAUAUUCUGUAGCAAGGUUAACCGAAUAGGGGAGCCGAAGGGAAACCGAGUCUUAACUGGGCGUUAAGUUGCAGGGUAUAGACCCGAAACCCGGUGAUCUAGCCAUGGGCAGGUUGAAGGUUGGGUAACACUAACUGGAGGACCGAACCGACUAAUGUUGAAAAAUUAGCGGAUGACUUGUGGCUGGGGGUGAAAGGCCAAUCAAACCGGGAGAUAGCUGGUUCUCCCCGAAAGCUAUUUAGGUAGCGCCUCGUGAAUUCAUCUCCGGGGGUAGAGCACUGUUUCGGCAAGGGGGUCAUCCCGACUUACCAACCCGAUGCAAACUGCGAAUACCGGAGAAUGUUAUCACGGGAGACACACGGCGGGUGCUAACGUCCGUCGUGAAGAGGGAAACAACCCAGACCGCCAGCUAAGGUCCCAAAGUCAUGGUUAAGUGGGAAACGAUGUGGGAAGGCCCAGACAGCCAGGAUGUUGGCUUAGAAGCAGCCAUCAUUUAAAGAAAGCGUAAUAGCUCACUGGUCGAGUCGGCCUGCGCGGAAGAUGUAACGGGGCUAAACCAUGCACCGAAGCUGCGGCAGCGACGCUUAUGCGUUGUUGGGUAGGGGAGCGUUCUGUAAGCCUGUGAAGGUGUGCUGUGAGGCAUGCUGGAGGUAUCAGAAGUGCGAAUGCUGACAUAAGUAACGAUA
Molecule: ribosomal RNA, 1279 nt
Filed under: Escherichia coli
Lineage: Bacteria; Pseudomonadati; Pseudomonadota; Gammaproteobacteria; Enterobacterales; Enterobacteriaceae
Description: partial 23S ribosomal RNA
Rfam family: Bacterial large subunit ribosomal RNA
Source: RNAcentral